GUCCACGCCUUAAACUAUGAAUACUAAGUGUCGGCGGGUUACCGCCGGUGCCGCAGCUAACGCAUUAAGUAUUCCGCCUGGGAAGUACGGCCGCAAGGUUGAAACUCAAAUGAAUUGACGUGGGCCCGCACAAGCGGUGGAGCAUGUGGUUUAAUUCGAUGCAACGCGAAGAACCUUACCCAGGCUGGACAUGCAGGUAGUAGAAGGGUGAAAGCCCAACGAGGUAGCAAUACCAUCCUGCUCAGGUGCUGCAUGGCUGUCGU
RNAcentral lists this ribosomal RNA (263 nucleotides) under uncultured bacterium. Its description in RNAcentral is "partial 16S ribosomal RNA". It matches the Rfam family "Bacterial small subunit ribosomal RNA", at positions 793 to 1055 of the family's 1533-position model. The record is from RNAcentral.